This 229-nucleotide long non-coding RNA is filed under the name Gallus gallus (chicken). The record is from RNAcentral. Lineage: Eukaryota; Metazoa; Chordata; Aves; Galliformes; Phasianidae.
UGGUCUCUUCUUUCACCUGCACGGCAAUGAUCUCAUCAGGUGCCGGAUCUGGCAAAGCUUUGCUGGAAGCUUUUGCUUCUCGUUUUAUCCGUGAGGCGGGAGGCUUCUUGACUGUCUGCUUGAUGGUGCGGGUUUUGGCAGGUAACUUUUUUCCUGGAACAACAGGCGGCUGAAGCUGGUAGCCUGUCAGCUCGCACCACCCCACAGGAUAGAUGUCUGGGGACUCACA